This 492-nucleotide ribosomal RNA is filed under the name uncultured bacterium. RNAcentral describes it as "partial 16S ribosomal RNA". It matches the Rfam family "Bacterial small subunit ribosomal RNA", at positions 29 to 507 of the family's 1533-position model. The record is from RNAcentral.
AGUGAACGCUGGCGGUAGGCCUAACACAUGCAAGUCGAACGGCAGCACAGUAAGAGCUUGCUCUUACGGGUGGCGAGUGGCGGACGGGUGGGGAAUACAUCGGAAUCUACUUUUUCGUGGGGGAUAACGUAGGGAAACUUACGCUAAUACCGCAUACGACCUACGGGUGAAAGCGGGGGAUCUUCGGACCUUGCGCGAUUGAAUGAGCCGAUGUCGGAUUAGCUAGUUGGCGGGGUAAAGGCCCACCAAGGCGACGAUCCGUAGCUGGUCUGAGAGGAUGAUCAGCCACACUGGAACUGAGACACGGUCCAGACUCCUACGGGAGGCAGCAGUGGGGAAUAUUGGACAAUGGGCGCAAGCCUGAUCCAGCCAUACCGCGUGGGUGAAGAAGGCCUUCGGGUUGUAAAGCCCUUUUGUUGGGAAAGAAAAGCAGCAGGUUAAUACCCCGCUGUUCUGACGGUACCCAAAGAAUAAGCACCGGCUAACUUCGUG